Molecule: unclassified non-coding RNA, 439 nt
Filed under: rhizosphere metagenome
Description: partial ribosomal RNA internal transcribed spacer region
Source: RNAcentral
GUAGGUGAACCUGCGGAAGGAUCAUUAACACGUAUCCAUACGUAUCAAACCAAACCAACCUGUGAACCAACCCCGCCCUGUUGUUGCGGUGACUCGUGCUAGUCUGUCAGCAUCCAUGGAGUUCGUGUGUUCUGCUCUUCACGAGUGGUUCCCCCGAUCGAUGGUGACAGGCGUCUGGCUGUGACUUCGGUCACAGUCGGGUGCAUUCCACAACAGCAGGCUUUUCUACCAUCUCCUGAACUAUACCUACCCAGACCAUUUUCACAUGGGGGCUGGAUGGGACAAGCCAGGAGGUACCAAAAACCUAUUUCACCCCUUCUAAACUAUUUGACUGAUCUAUAUUCACGUGGCAGGUGCUCGCUUGCGAGUAACCACCUCUGAUGAAUACUAAGUUUAUCUAAACUAAGCACAACUCUUAGCAAUGGAUAUCUUGGUUCUC